GUGCCAGCCACCGCCUGCGGGGCUGGGACCCAACACCUCCGGGCUCAGCGAGCAGAUCUGGACCGUGUUGAAGUAUGAACUGGGGCUCAGCACAAAAUUCCUGGGAGAAGAGGAGGUUCCAGUGAACCCAAGAAAGGGGAGUUCGGAGGAAAUGGAAAGAACGGCUCGGGUCCAGGCCACCAGGAAGAUACCCAGGAUUACUUCUGCAGGGAUGUCAGCCAGCAUGCCUAGAACCCAGGCCCCAAGGCUGUCAUACAUCCCAGAGACGCCAUCUGGAGCAAGAUCGAUCCUUUUCCUCUCUCCCACCUUCUUCGAUGAUGAUGUGUUUCAACCUCACCAGCUGGAGCCACUGAAAAGGCAAAAUUAUGUUAAACACUGUCAUGGGGACUGGAGAAAUGACUC
Long non-coding RNA from Nannospalax galili (Upper Galilee mountains blind mole rat), 402 nucleotides. RefSeq lists it as uncharacterized. The record is from RefSeq and is a predicted model, not a curated record. Lineage: Eukaryota; Metazoa; Chordata; Mammalia; Rodentia; Spalacidae. The transcript has 3 exons.